GCUGGACGAAGCCAUACUAUCGCAGUGGAACGACCUGUUCUUUGUAGCGAUUAUUAAGUGUUUACACUGCUUAAAGUCUUUUAAAGGCAAUAUGCCAGGUCCCAUAGUUCAGUGCGGGACUGCCACAACGGUACCCGUGGGCUAAAGAAGUGGAUGGAAGAGUUUUGCCCUAUUCACGAGUGCAAUAAAGGAACCUCGCGCUGUCUUAGUGACCCGCCUUAUGUACUCGUCACAUUUCCUACUGAAAGAAAAGAUCCAGAACGUCGUGCCGAAUGGAUUAAAUUACAUCGACUUUACAACGCUCAAAGUAAUCAAUAUCUGCGUCACGCUCGGCCAUGUUUAUGAUAUGGGGUAUCCCGACCUUUGACCCGGACCAGCAUACCUUGCGUGCGGGGAGGGCCCCCAGACAUCCAACACAAACCAAAUCUCACUCUAAGGUCUGGUCACAAGUUGGCAGCCCUGUGUUUCUACCAGCAGACACUGAAAGGACUCUGAUAGUUUGCUUCAGCUCCAGAGACGGCAGGUGGGACGAGUCAACGGAGGCCUGGUGGACGAAGGCAUGCAGCUGAGUACAAUCCAGAAAACAACAGAGGAGGAGUGCAGCAGCCCAGGACCAGAACAAACAGAGUAGCAUCACCAAAGAACAACAGACUCUUCACAACCUGCUCAAACUCUUGGUACAGGACCUCACCACACGGAUCAAGAAGGUUUCCGUCUCAUUUCUACUCUGAAGCUCACCUUCUCCUGCUCAAACUGCUGACAAAUGUUUCUGCUGCUCUAAAGUCUGGUCUCCAGAACUUCCUAAAAACUCUCAAAGGCUCUUCUGCUGCAGGUUGCUUUGUAGAACUGUUCCAGAAAACCUCACUAAACCACAUGGAGGGGCCUCAAGAUAGUCGUCCAAAUGAAACCAUACAAAAACCAAACUAGCACAACCCAAACGCUAAAGUCUCCUGCAGCCUACCAGAGAACCUCUGAGAACAGAGAAUCAGUACAGGAACUCUUACCUUCUGGACAACCAACGUUGGUUCACAAACAAGAAUACAGAAUGUGUCUGACCAAAAACUUCUAAAGACUCACUACAGGCAAGAUAAUGACACAACUCAGCUGUACCAAAUCCACUAAUCACUGCACACAUUAGCACCAUGUGCUAACUGUGGCUAAAGAACCACCUUUACCAAGACAACUAUCCAGUACAAAGUCCUAAAACACACCAAGAAACACAUUAAAGACAAUUUUACUGCUGGAAGCUGCAAGCCAACGCCUAAAGAACAAACUAAAGCAAUGGAGCUAAACCCGGUUCAAUGGUGCAGAGAAGCAGAGGAAAUGUCUGACUGCAGAAAAACAAAGCAGGAAGACACUGAGCUGCUCAGGUGUUCCUGAUAACACCAAGCAGCCACCUGGACAGCCAAUAGGAACACAGCUUACUGGAAGUCCAGAGGGCUGGGUUAGUGAAGGAAAUUUAGUUUAAAGUUGAGGCAGAAAGUUAACAAAGAAAGUUGAAAACCAACUUCUGAUACCUGAAAUCUCUGAGUUUUCACACAAAGAACACCUGAACAUGUCAAACUGGUUUCAUAGUAGAACCAUCAUUGUAAAAACGUCAUAGUAUGAUGUGUUGCUCAAAAAACAUUAGGACCCGGCUGUCUAGGGUCGCCGAGGAGCAACACAAAAACAGGACAAACGCUGGUUUCCAGGGGGUUAGGCAGCUAUUUAUUUGAAAGAGUAAGUUUACAACAACACAACAUGUGAGCAGAAAAAUCACAAAGUCUGUCUUUAGUUCAGCUGAAAAUAUUAGUUUUUGUCUUUUUUAUUGAUCAAACUUUUCAGGAAGUAGAUGAAGAAUAAUUAAAGCUCUCAUGUAGAAGUCCAACUUAUUUUGGAUCCUUGUGGAGAGUUUAAUCUUAGAGUUUGUACAGCUGUUGAGUUUUUAGAGUCACAUGGAUUGUUUUGACAUUUAAUAACUGAGUCCUGAAAUAAAAUUACAGUUAUGGAUUUCUGUCAUUUAGUCUGGACUAAACAAAUAACAGCAGCAUAAAUCUCAAACAUCAUUAUGAGGAGUCUGGAUUGAGGUUUCUCACUUGAUAAUGAUCAAAACAUGAAAUUUAGGUUGGUUUAAAGGAAUAUUCCACCUUAAAUCUUUGAAUGUUGACCUAAAAGGUUGGUUUCAGGAAGUAUUCCACCUACAAGGUCCUCAAACAUCCACCUUAAAGGAACAUUCCACCAAAAAUCCUUGGACAUGCACCUAAAAUGUUGGUUUAACCGAGUAUUCCAUCCAAAAUCCUCAAAGAGACCUGAGGGGCUGGUUAAAAGGAAUAUUCCACCUAAAACCUUAAAUAUAGACCUGAAAGGGUGGUUUAGAAAAAAUCCUUCAGUGUAGACCAAAAAAGUUAGUAUGGAGAAAUAUUCCACCUGAAAUGUAGACCUGAGAAGUUGGUUCGGAAGAAUAUACCAUCCUAAACAUCCUUAAAUGUAGACUAAAAGACGGUUUGGAAGAAAAUUCCACCUAAAAUCCUCCAAUGUAGACCUAAAAGGUGAGUUUAAUGGUAUAUUCCACCUAAAAUUCACUACUGUAGACCUUGGAGGUUGGUCUGAUGGUAUAUUCCACCCAACAUCCUUGAACAUAAACUUAAAAAUUUCGUUCAAAGGAAUAUUUCACCUAAAAUCUUUCAAUGUAGACCAAAAAAUCUUGGUGUAAAGGAGUAUUCCACCUUAAAUGUAGACCUAAAGGAUGGUUUGGAGUAAUAUUCUACUCUAAAAUCUUCCAGUGUAGACCUAAAAGGUUGAUCUGAUGGUAUAUUCUACCCAACAUCCUGGAACAUUUACCUAAAAGGUUGGUUUAAUGGUAUAUUCCCAGAAGAACCCUUGAACAUCGGGCUUAAUGGUAUAUUCCACCCAAAAUACUUGGACAUAUACCAAGAAGUCAGUGUAAAGGAAAUGUAGACCUAACAGGAUUGUUUAAAGGAAUAUUUAAACGAUUAUUUUUAUUAUUUAAUAAUCUGUUAUCAGUCAGAACCCUGGCAAACUUAUUUUCAUCAUUUUUUUUUUUAGUGGAAGUCACAAAUAAAGGAGCUCUUGGUUUUUCCUGGCGUUACUGAGUCAAAAGCUGCUGUUUCAACACAGACACGUUCACAUGCAUCCACAAACCUCUCAGCACUCAAACAUCCACAGACAGGAGGCCGGCUGGACCGAGGCUCGGCGGCGUCCUCAGACCCACGAGUCGGGGAGUCGUUGAACUUGUUGGUCCGGUUUGAAGGCCUCCGUGUGGUCCAGUAGAAGUCCACGUAGUCGGUGUUGGCUUUGAACCGCAGCGACUGGCCGCCAUCAGGUGGACCGGCUCGUCCUCGUAGGACUCCUCCUGUAGCCUUGAGGGGACCACAGGAACAUUCAGUAGCUGUUGGAGUUCUUCCUGUCAGGAUCCUGGUAGAACGGCUCUGAAGAAUCUUGUACUUGUAUUAUCUGGAACAAUCUAACAGCCUAAACUGUUAACAGCAGUUUAAAGAAGCAAACACACAGGCAUAGAUUAGGACUCAAACUAGAUUUAUUUUAGAAAAAUCAGCUUAGAGGCAUUUGUUCACACGUGGCUGAAUAGGAGGCUGUCCAAUCAGAUUUGAGGUCUUCACUCUGUAGGUUGGUUGUUUGGUGAGACUCUUGGACCUCCAUCAGCUGACGUGGAUGUUUAAUGGUCUUCUUCUCUAGUGCCAGAUGAUUCAUCCAUGAAUUCAGCAGCUACAGACUAAAAUGAAACUCAUGCUGCCGUGAUUGAAUUCCUGUUCCAGAUCAAAUGUUCAGAGCUCACUUUGAAUGCAUGCCGUCUGCUGUCUGAUAGUUUUUCUCAUUGUAGUCUUCAAUAAAGUCUUUUUCCUCAUGUCA
Long non-coding RNA from Amphiprion ocellaris (clown anemonefish), 3867 nucleotides. RefSeq lists it as uncharacterized. The transcript is spliced from 5 exons. The record is from RefSeq and is a predicted model, not a curated record. NCBI's taxonomy places the organism in Eukaryota, Metazoa, Chordata, Actinopteri, Pomacentridae.